CUGACACUGAGAAGAAGAAGAAGAUAAUCCUCCAGCAGGUAAUCAUCAACUUUUAAAUCAGCAUCACCUCCACCAUGAAGACGCUGAUUCUGUCUGCACUUCUUUGUGCCGUGAUCACGCUGACCAGAGCUGCUGGAGAGCAUCAUAUCUUGGAGAGGUCAACAUCUUGUCCCAGUGGUUGGACUAAGAUCAGCGGUCGCUGUUU
This is a long non-coding RNA of Micropterus salmoides (largemouth bass), 205 nucleotides long. RefSeq lists it as uncharacterized. NCBI's taxonomy places the organism in Eukaryota, Metazoa, Chordata, Actinopteri, Centrarchiformes, Centrarchidae. The transcript is spliced from 3 exons. The record is from RefSeq and is a predicted model, not a curated record.